UUAAACUAAGAAUAUAAGGGUAGAGCUUUAUAUUCAAAAAUUAAUUAGAGAUGAAUAAAUUAAUUAAUAAUUUAUAAAUUAGGCUUUUUAGUGGCCAUAUUUUUAAAGUAUUUUAACUAUUAAAAUAUAAAAAAAUUUUAUUUUUAUUCUCUUGAGUUAUUUAGUAGAAUAUUUUUUUAUAAUAAAAUUAAGUUAGAAAUAAUGAAAAUAUUAGUAGAAAUUAAUUAUUAAAAUUAUUUGAAAUAGAUUUUAUAAUAAAUUAUAAUAAAAUAAGGAAGAAAAAUUAAAGGAAUUCGGCAAAUUUAUUUUCUUGCCUGUUUAACAAAAACAUGUCUGUAUGGAGUUAUAUAGAGUCUGGCCUGCCCGUUGAAGAAAUUUGAAAGGCCGCGGUAUAUUAACUGUGCAAAGGUAGCAUAAUCAUUAGCUUUUUAAUUGAAGGCUUGUAUGAAGGGUCUGACAAAGAAAAAGCUGUCUUUAAUUUUAUUUUUGAAAUUAACUUUUAAGUGAAAAGGCUUAAAUGAAUUUAAGGGACGAUAAGACCCUAUAAAUCUUUAUAUUAAAUUUUUAUCUUAAAGAUUAAUAAUUUGUCUAGAUUAUUAAGUAAAUAAUAAAUAUUUUGUUGGGGUGACAAGAAUAUAUAAUUAACUGUUCUUAUAUAAAACAAAGUUGUUUGUUUAAAUAAAAUAAAGAUCCUUUAUUAAAGAUUAAAAGUUUAAGUUACUUUAGGGAUAACAGCGUUAUUUUUUUUGAGAGUUCUUAUCGAAAAAAAAGUUUGCGACCUCGAUGUUGAAUUAAAAUUUCUCUACGGUGUAGAAGUUGUGGGAGAAAGUCUGUUCGACUUUUGAAAUUUU
This 851-nucleotide ribosomal RNA is filed under the name Paramunida scabra. RNAcentral describes it as "partial 16S ribosomal RNA". The stretch from base 271 to 517 matches the Rfam family "Archaeal large subunit ribosomal RNA", at positions 1786 to 2143 of the family's 2987-position model. Lineage: Eukaryota; Metazoa; Arthropoda; Malacostraca; Decapoda; Munididae. The record is from RNAcentral.